GAUGAACGCUGGCGGCGUGCCUGAUACAUGCAAGUCGAGCGAAUGGAUUGAGAGCUUGCUCUUAUGAAGUUAGCGGCGGACGGGUGAGUAACACGUGGGUAACCUGCCCAUAAGACUGGGAUAACUCCGGGAAACCGGGGCUAAUACCGGAUAACAUUUUGAACCGCAUGGUUCGAAAUUGAAAGGCGGCUCCGGCUGUCACUUAUGGAUGGACCCGCGUCGCAUUAGCUAGUUGGUGAGGUAACGGCUCACCAAGGCAACGAUGCGUAGCCGACCGGGGAGGGUGAGCGGCCACACUGGGACUGAGACACGGCCUAGACUCCUACGGGAUGCAGCAGUAGGGAAUCUUCCGCAAUGGACGAAAGUCUGACGGAGCAACGCCGCGUGAGUGAUGAAGGCUUUCGGGUCGUAAAACUCUGCUGUUAGGGAAGAACAAGUGCUAGUUGAAUAAGCUGGCACCUUGACGGUACCUAACCAGAAAGCCACGGCUAACUACGUGCCAGCCGCCGCGGUAA
This 515-nucleotide ribosomal RNA is filed under the name uncultured bacterium. Its description in RNAcentral is "partial 16S ribosomal RNA". It matches the Rfam family "Bacterial small subunit ribosomal RNA", at positions 28 to 523 of the family's 1533-position model. The record is from RNAcentral.